Molecule: non-coding RNA, 30 nt
Filed under: Mus musculus (house mouse)
Lineage: Eukaryota; Metazoa; Chordata; Mammalia; Rodentia; Muridae
Source: RNAcentral
UAGAAAGCCACUUAUUGUAUAAUUUGCAAG